Molecule: long non-coding RNA, 509 nt
Filed under: Nicotiana benthamiana
Lineage: Eukaryota; Viridiplantae; Streptophyta; Magnoliopsida; Solanales; Solanaceae
Description: long non-coding RNA (NBEN_LNC010318)
Source: RNAcentral
UUUAAUCAUUCGGGUGGGAUCCAAAUCCCUUGUCGGAUAUCCGAAUUCGAGUACGUUCAAUCAAGAAUCGCCGCCACGGGUGGUGGUGGAAGAUGCCCUACAAGGAGAAGCUGGAGGCAUAAGUACUGGUGAGUUGUGAUCAGAGACGAAUCUAAAAUUUAAAAGUAUAAUAGCGUGGAAGGCGGAAUUGGAGGCCUAAGUACUGGUGAGUUGUCAUUAGAGGCGUAUUUAAAAUUUAACAAUAUACUAUUUUUUAAGCUUAUUUGUUUAUGAAGAAAGUAGUGUGAGUAGUUUUUGAUUAACUACUUAAUUUCCACUCUGAUUAUGACGAUGUUAAGGUUUGUUAUUCUAUUUUAGUGAUCAGUUCGCUAGUUUCUUUGAUCCCACUCGGUUUCUUUUAUACUGCCGGAGGUAUGGAGGCUUAGUUUAAUAUUUUAUUUUGUCAAAAAGAAAAAUGUAAAAAGUUUUGACAUUUAUGCCAAAACUUUUGUUCUUAGGGUGUGGAUGAU